Molecule: ribosomal RNA, 210 nt
Filed under: uncultured bacterium
Lineage: Bacteria
Description: partial 16S ribosomal RNA
Rfam family: Bacterial small subunit ribosomal RNA
Source: RNAcentral
GUACGUUGGGGGAGGGUAACCUACCGGAACCGGAACGGGCUAAUACCGCAUAAGUCCGAGAGGAGAAAGCGGUUUUGUGAAAGCAAAGCCGCGCAGGAGGAGGAGUCCGCGGCCGAUUAGCUAGUUGGUAGGGUAAAAGCCUACCAAGGCUACGAUCGGUAGCCGGCCUGAGAGGGCACACGGCCACACUGGCACUGAAACACGGGCCAG